This 460-nucleotide ribosomal RNA is filed under the name uncultured bacterium. RNAcentral describes it as "partial 16S ribosomal RNA". It matches the Rfam family "Bacterial small subunit ribosomal RNA", at positions 338 to 795 of the family's 1533-position model. The record is from RNAcentral.
CCUACGGGAGGCAGCAGUGAGGAAUAUUGGUCAAUGGGCGCGAGCCUGAACCAGCCAAGUAGCGUGAAGGAUGACUGCCCUACGGGUUGUAAACUUCUUUUAUAAAGGAAUAAAGUGAGGCACGUGUGCCUUUUUGUAUGUACUUGAUGAAAAAGGAUCGGCUAACUCCGUGCCAGCAGCCGCGGUAAUACGGAGGAUCCGAGCGUUAUCCGGAUUUAUUGGGUUUAAAGGGAGCGUAGAUGGGUUGUUAAGUCAGUGGUGAAAGUUUGGGGCUCAACCGUCAAAUUGCAAUUGAAACUGGCUGUCUUGAGUGCAGUAGAGGUAGGCGGAAUGCGUGGUGUAGCGGUGAAAUGCUUAGAUAUCACGAAGAACUCCGAUUGCGAAGGCAGCUUACUAAACUGCCACUGACAUUGAUGCUCGAAAGUGUGGGUAUCGAACAGGAUUAGAUACCCGAGUAGUC